RNAcentral lists this ribosomal RNA (480 nucleotides) under uncultured bacterium. RNAcentral's name for it is "partial 16S ribosomal RNA". It matches the Rfam family "Bacterial small subunit ribosomal RNA", at positions 28 to 523 of the family's 1533-position model. The record is from RNAcentral.
GACGAACGCUGGCGGCGUGCCUAACACAUGCAAGUCGAGCGAGUGAAUCUCCUUCGGGAGUGAAGCUAGCGGCGGACGGGCGAGUAACACGUGGGCAACCUGCCUCAUAGAGGGGAAUAGCCUUUCGAAAGGAAGAUUAAUACAGCAUAAGAUUGUAGCUUCGCAUGAAGUAGCAAUUAAAGGAGCAAUCCGCUAUGAGAUGGGCCCGCGGCGCAUUAGCUAGUUGGUGAGGUAACGGCCCACCAAGGCGACGAUGAGUAGCCGACCUGAGAGGUUGGUCGGCCACAUUGGGACUGAGACACGGCCCAGAGUCCUACGGGAGGCAGCAGUGGGGAAUAUUGCACAAUGGGGGAAACCCUGAUGCAGCAACGCCGCGUGGGGGAUGACGGCCUUCGGGUUGUAAAGCUCUGUCUUCAGGGACGAUAAUGACGGUACCUGAGGAGGAAGCCACGGCUAACUACGUGCCAGCCGCCGCCGUAA